Molecule: long non-coding RNA, 559 nt
Filed under: Setaria viridis
Lineage: Eukaryota; Viridiplantae; Streptophyta; Magnoliopsida; Poales; Poaceae
Description: long non-coding RNA (SVIR_LNC004257)
Source: RNAcentral
CAAAAAGAAUAACGAAUACGACUCGAUGAAACCGCCGCUCAAAUCUCCAAGAGAAAGCUACGCAUAUGCAGUAUGUAUAAGCAUGGCACACAUGCUUCUACUGCAUAAUCUUCGCCACGAGCAGGGAUACCAGCGCGGACGACACCACGGCCACGGCGGACGCCGCCGGAGCGGAGGCCGCCCCGGCGAUCGGAGAGGGCGCGGGCGCGGACGACGGCGCCGUGGUGAACUCCUGCGCCGACGCGGAGGCGACGAGCACGGCCGCGGCGAGGAGCAGCACGGAGGCGAAGCGUGAAGCCAUCUCGGGACGAUCGACUUGCUGGAAGGCUUUGAACUUGCUUGCUAGCUCUCGAAGACUCUGCUGCGGCGGUGGCGGUGGCGGUGGCGGUGUGCGUGUACUCUGCUGCGGAUUGCGAUGCUGCGAUGGGGGGAGGAGGUUUAUAUAGGCCGCCCAAGCGGAGGGCUGCGCCGUGGGAUCGGCGGGUCGCAGUCGUGGGUUUAAUUUCUCUCCGUGUCCGCGCGCGUCUGCGUUCCUUCCGCGGGGGGCACGGCACGGCAC